GGUACACCUAGUGUUCAAUAGGGAAUCGUGUGAAAAUCACGAGCUGACGCGCAACUGUAAGUGUCGCAGUGGAGAUGUCAAAAUGCCAUUGGCCGCCGGAAUAGGUGGCUGAGAAGGCGAUAUCAAGGACAUAAGCCAGGAGACCUGCCUAUACAA
This 156-nucleotide non-coding RNA is filed under the name bovine gut metagenome. The record is from RNAcentral.